GAAUAUUGGACAAUGGGGGCAACCCUGAUCCAGCAAUGCCGCGUGAGUGAUGAAGGCCUUAGGGUUGUAAAGCUCUUUUACCCGAGAUGAUAAUGACAGUAUCGGGAGAAUAAGCUCCGGCUAACUCCGUGCCAGCAGCCGCGGUAAUACGGAGGGAGCUAGCGUUGUUCGGAAUUACUGGGCGUAAAGCGCACGUAGGCGGCGAUUUAAGUCAGAGGUGAAAGCCCGGGGCUCAACCCCGGAACUGCCUUUGAGACUGGAUUGCUAGAAUCUUGGAGAGGCGAGUGGAAUUCCGAGUGUAGAGGUGAAAUUCGUAGAUAUUCGGAAGAACACCAGUGGCGAAGGCGGCUCGCUGGACAAGUAUUGACGCUGAGGUGCGAAAGCGUGGGGAGCAAACAGG
RNAcentral lists this ribosomal RNA (400 nucleotides) under uncultured bacterium. RNAcentral's name for it is "bacterial SSU rRNA". It matches the Rfam family "Bacterial small subunit ribosomal RNA", at positions 359 to 776 of the family's 1533-position model. The record is from RNAcentral.